Molecule: long non-coding RNA, 259 nt
Organism: Saccostrea cuccullata (small rock oyster)
Lineage: Eukaryota; Metazoa; Mollusca; Bivalvia; Ostreida; Ostreidae
Exons: 3
Source: RefSeq, a predicted model, not a curated record
UCAUUAUGCAGCUUGAAGGCAAGGAAUUUGUAGCGGGAACUGUGGUGUCAUACAAGGAAACAGACGAUGAUAAGAGCAAUUUGAAGAUCAGAAUUCACUGGGAUGCAAAGAGGGAUUUGUGCAAAAAGAAAUUUUACAACGUUUCAAAACAUUCAAAGGAUACGAAAGAACACAAUGCUCUGUAUCUUUUUGAGUAUGGAGUUUUGGAAAAAGAUGAAUGUACAGAAUGCAGUAAGCCACCGACCACUCAUCUGAACGG